RNAcentral lists this ribosomal RNA (551 nucleotides) under Aliivibrio fischeri. RNAcentral's name for it is "bacterial SSU rRNA". It matches the Rfam family "Bacterial small subunit ribosomal RNA", at positions 44 to 610 of the family's 1533-position model. The record is from RNAcentral. Lineage: Bacteria; Pseudomonadati; Pseudomonadota; Gammaproteobacteria; Vibrionales; Vibrionaceae.
AGGAAUUAAGCUUGCUAAUUUNGCUUGACGAGCGGCGGCCGGGUGAUGUAAUGCCUGGGAAUAUGCCUUAGUGUGGGGGAUAACUAUUGGAAACGAUAGCUAAUACCGCAUAAUGUCUUCGGACCAAAGAGGGGGAUCUUCGGNCCUCUCGCGCUAAGAUUAGCCCAGGUGAGAUUAGCUAGUUGGUGAGGUAAGAGCUCACCAAGGCGACGAUCUCUAGCUGGUCUGAGAGGAUGAUCAGCCNCACUGGAACUGAGACACGGUCCAGACUCCUACGGGAGGCAGCAGUGGGGAAUAUUGCACAAUGGGCGAAAGCCUGAUGCAGCCAUGCCGCGUGUAUGAAGAAGGCCUUCGGGUUGUAAAGUACUUUCAGUAGGGAGGAAGGUGUUGUAGUUAAUAGCUGCAGCAUUUGACGUUACCUACAGAAGAAGCACCGGCUAACUCCGUGCCAGCAGCCGCGGUAAUACGGAGGGUGCGAGCGUUAAUCGGAAUUACUGGGCGUAAAGCGCAUGCAGGUGGUUCAUUAAGUCAGAUGUGAAAGCCCGGGGCUC